RNAcentral lists this ribosomal RNA (496 nucleotides) under uncultured bacterium. Its description in RNAcentral is "partial 16S ribosomal RNA". It matches the Rfam family "Bacterial small subunit ribosomal RNA", at positions 29 to 507 of the family's 1533-position model. The record is from RNAcentral.
AUGAACGCUGGCGGCGUGCCUAAUACAUGCAAGUCGAGCGAACAGACGAGGAGCUUGCUCCUCUGACGUUAGCGGCGGACGGGUGAGUAACACGUGGAUAACCUACCUAUAAGCCUGGGAUAACUUCGGGAAACCGGAGCUAAUACCGGAUAAUAUAUUGAACCGCCUGGUUCAAUAGUGAAAGACGGUUUUGCUGUCACUUAUAGAUGGAUCCGCGCCGCAUUAGCUAGUUGGUAAGGUAACGGCUUACCAAGGCAACGAUGCGUAGCCGACCUGAGAGGGUGAUCGGCCACACUGGAACUGAGACACGGUCCAGACUCCUACGGGAGGCAGCAGUAGGGAAUCUUCCGCAAUGGGCGAAAGCCUGACGGAGCAACGCCGCGUGAGUGAUGAAGGUCUUCGGAUCGUAAAACUCUGUUAUUAGGGAAGAACAAAUGUGUAAGUAACUAUGCACGUCUUGACGGUACCUAAUCAGAAAGCCACGGCUAACUACGUG